UACAGAGGGUGCAAACGUUGUUCGGAUUUACUGGGCGUAAAGCGCGUGUAGGCGGCUAUGUAAGUCGGGCGUGAAAGCCCACGGCUCAACCGUGGAAGUGCACCCGAAACUGCGUAGCUAGAGUCCUGGAGAGGAAGGUGGAAUGCUUGGUGUAGAGGUGAAAUUCGUAGAUAUCAAGCGGAACACCGGUGGCGAAGGCGGCCUUCUGGACAGUGACUGACGCUGAGACGCGAAAGCGUGGGGAGCAAACAGG
RNAcentral lists this ribosomal RNA (253 nucleotides) under uncultured bacterium. RNAcentral's name for it is "partial 16S ribosomal RNA". It matches the Rfam family "Bacterial small subunit ribosomal RNA", at positions 524 to 776 of the family's 1533-position model. The record is from RNAcentral.